CCUACGGGAGGCUGCAGUGGGGUAUAUUGGACAAUGGGGGGAACCCUGAUCCAGCCAUGCCGCGUGUGUGAAGAAGGCCCUCGGGUUGUAAAGCACUUUCAGUGAGGAAGAACGCCUGGUGGUUAAUACCCAUCAGGAAAGACAUCACUCACAGAAGAAGCACCGGCUAACUCCGUGCCAGCAGCCGCGGUAAUACGGAGGGUGCGAGCGUUAAUCGGAAUUACUGGGCGUAAAGCGCGCGUAGGUGGCUUGAUAAGCCGGUUGUGAAAGCCCCGGGCUCAACCUGGGAACGGCAUCCGGAACUGUCAAGCUAGAGUGCAGGAGAGGAAGGUAGAAUUCCCGGUGUAGCGGUGAAAUGCGUAGAGAUCGGGAGGAAUACCAGUGGCGAAGGCGGCCUUCUGGACUGACACUGACACUGAGGUGCGAAAGCGUGGGUAGCAAACAGGAUUAGAUACCCUAGUAGUC
This 465-nucleotide ribosomal RNA is filed under the name Vreelandella stevensii. RNAcentral describes it as "partial 16S ribosomal RNA". It matches the Rfam family "Bacterial small subunit ribosomal RNA", at positions 338 to 795 of the family's 1533-position model. Lineage: Bacteria; Pseudomonadati; Pseudomonadota; Gammaproteobacteria; Oceanospirillales; Halomonadaceae. The record is from RNAcentral.